CUUCCCCUCUCUUCUCCUGGGGAACAGUUGUGGAAUGAGUGUGGAUUUUUGUUGGAUUUGAUUUAGAUGCUUUCAGAAGUAUGGAGCUAAAUGCAGAGCCCUGGAGAUGCCCAGAAGCACACACGGGUGACCAUUGCUUGCUGAAGAUGACAAUGCCAGUCUGUGUGGCUUCUGAACUCUGACAUUAUGUCCCCAAACUAUAACCUUACAUUAAAGAGUACACGUGGGA
Molecule: long non-coding RNA, 229 nt
Organism: Mus musculus (house mouse)
Lineage: Eukaryota; Metazoa; Chordata; Mammalia; Rodentia; Muridae
Product: predicted gene 6360
Exons: 3
Source: RefSeq, a predicted model, not a curated record